RNAcentral lists this ribosomal RNA (499 nucleotides) under uncultured Lachnospiraceae bacterium. Its description in RNAcentral is "partial 16S ribosomal RNA". Lineage: Bacteria; Bacillati; Bacillota; Clostridia; Lachnospirales; Lachnospiraceae. The record is from RNAcentral.
CACGUAGUUAGCCGGGGCUUCUUAGUCGGGUACCGUCCUCUUUCUUCCCCGCUGAUAGAGCUUUACAUACCGAGAUACUUCCUCGCUCACACGGCGUUGCUGCGUCAGGGUUUCCCCCAUUGCGCAAUAUUCCCCACUGCUGCCUCCCGUAGGAGUUUGGGCCGUGUCUCAGUCCCAAUGUGGCCGGCCACCCUCUCAGGUCGGCUACUGAUCGUCGCCUUGGUGGGCCUUUACCCCGCCAACCAGCUAAUCAGACGCGGGCCCAUCCCAUACCACCGGAGUUUUCGCCCGGGGCCAUGCGGCCUCGCGCGCUUACGCGGUAUUAGCGGUCAUUUCUAACCGUUAUCCCCCGGUAUGGGGCAGGUUACCCACGCGUUACUCACCCGUCGCCGCUAAGUCACUCCCGCUUCCUUCCGAAAAAUUCCGCGUGAGCGCUUCGCUCGACUUGCAUGUGUUAAGCACGCCGCCAGCGUUCAUCCUGAGCCAGGAUCAAAACUCU